AAUCAACGCUGGCGGCGUGCCUCAGACAUGCAAGUCGAACGCGAAAUUUCCCUUCGGGGAGAAAGUAGAGUGGCGCACGGGUGAGUAACACGUAGGUAAUUUGCCUUUGGGUGGGGAAUAACUCAGGGAAACUUGAGCUAAUACCGCAUAAUGCAGCGGCUCGACAUCGAGACAGUUGUUAAAGCGGGGGAUUGGAGCAAUCCGACCUCGCGCCUAAAGAGAAGCCUGCGGCAGAUUAGCUAGUUGGUAAGGUAAUGGCUUACCAAGGCGACGAUCUGUAACCGGCCUGAGAGGGCGGUCGGUCACACUGACACUGACAUACGGGUCAGGACUCCUACGGGAGGCAGCAGUCGGGAAUUUUGGGCAAUGGGCGCAAGCCUGACCCAGCAACGCCGCGUGAAGGAUGAAAUUUUUCGGAAUGUAAACUUCGCAAGAACAGGAAGAAUAAGUGUGGGACAAUACCCCACAUGAUGACGUACUGUUUGUAAGCUCCGGCUAACUCCGUGCCAGC
Molecule: ribosomal RNA, 511 nt
Filed under: uncultured bacterium
Lineage: Bacteria
Description: bacterial SSU rRNA
Rfam family: Bacterial small subunit ribosomal RNA
Source: RNAcentral